AGAGUUUGAUCCUGGCUCAGGACGAACGCUGGCGGCGUGCCUAACACAUGCAAGUCGAGCGAGGGACUUCGGUCCCUAGCGGCGGACGGGUGAGUAACACGUGGGCAACCUGCCUCAUAGAGGGGGAUAGCCUCCCGAAAGGGAGAUUAAUACCGCAUAACAUCAUGCUAACGCAUGUUAGUAUGAUUAAAGGAGCAAUC
RNAcentral lists this ribosomal RNA (200 nucleotides) under uncultured bacterium. Its description in RNAcentral is "partial 16S ribosomal RNA". It matches the Rfam family "Bacterial small subunit ribosomal RNA", at positions 8 to 215 of the family's 1533-position model. The record is from RNAcentral.